CCGUACUGUUUGUAAUGACGAUGGCACAUGGACAGCACUCCAGGAGGCUUGUACCAAAAAGGCAUGUCCACAUCCACCAGUGCCCAGUAAUGGGGAAAUAACCAACAUAAAAGGGGAUUUCCUGUUUGGCUCAGAGGCUCACUAUGCAUGCUUUGUCGGUUUCCACUUAAUUGGAUCAAAAGUUCUUUACUGUGAAUUAGUUGGCAACACUGUGGACUGGAGCAAUCAGCCUCCACUAUGUCAAAAGGUAUUGUGUAGACCACCUGAGAAAAUACCGAACGGGAAGUACUCCAACAGUCACAAGGAAGUUUUUGAAUAUGGUGAAGUUGUGACUUACACUUGCAACCCUUCAACCGGGCCAGAUGAAUACUCCCUUAUUGGGACGAAAAAGCGUGUUUGUUCUGCUGAUGGAGAUUGGA
Molecule: long non-coding RNA, 419 nt
Organism: Sorex fumeus (smoky shrew)
Lineage: Eukaryota; Metazoa; Chordata; Mammalia; Eulipotyphla; Soricidae
Exons: 4
Source: RefSeq, a predicted model, not a curated record